RNAcentral lists this ribosomal RNA (253 nucleotides) under uncultured bacterium. RNAcentral's name for it is "partial 16S ribosomal RNA". It matches the Rfam family "Bacterial small subunit ribosomal RNA", at positions 524 to 776 of the family's 1533-position model. The record is from RNAcentral.
UACAGAGGGUGCGAGCGUUAAUCGGAAUUACUGGGCGUAAAGCGCACGUAGGUGGCUUUGCAAGUCGAUUGUGAAAUCCCCGGGCUUAACCUGGGAACUGCAGUCGAGACUGCUCUGCUUGAGUAUGGGAGAGGGAGGUGGAAUUUCCGGUGUAGCGGUGAAAUGCGUAGAUAUCGGAAGGAACAUCAGUGGCGAAGGCGACCUCCUGGACCAAUACUGACACUCAAGUGCGAAAGCGUGGGGAGCGAACAGG